AGAAUCAACGCUGGCGGCGUGCCUAACACAUGCAAGUCGCACGAGAAAGGGACUUCGGUCCUGAGUACAGUGGCGCACGGGUGAGUAACACGUGAAUAAUCUACCUCCGAGUGGGGAAUAACUGAGAGAAAUCUUAGCUAAUACCGCAUAACACUUACGAGUCAAAGCAGCAAUGCGCUUGGAGAGGAGUUCGCGGCAGAUUAGUUAGUUGGCGGGUAAUGGCCCACCAAGACGAUGAUCU
Molecule: ribosomal RNA, 241 nt
Filed under: uncultured bacterium
Lineage: Bacteria
Description: partial small subunit ribosomal RNA
Rfam family: Bacterial small subunit ribosomal RNA
Source: RNAcentral